UCCAGACUCCUACGGGAGGCAGCAGUGGGGGAUAUUGCACAAUGGGGGGAACCCUGAUGCAGCGACGCCGCGUGGGUGAAGGAGCGUUUCGGCGCGUAAAGCCCUAUCGGCAGGGAAGAAGGAGGACGGUACCUGACUAAGAAGCCCCGGCUAACUACGUGCCAGCAGCCGCGGUAAUACGUAGGGGGCAAGCGUUAUCCGGAUUUACUGGGUGUAAAGGGGGCGCAGACGGCAGCGCAAGCCAGGAGUGAAAGCCCGGGGCCCAACCCCGGGACUGCUCUUGGAACUGCGCGGCUGGAGUGCAGGAGGGGCAGGCGGAAUUCCUGGUGUAGCGGUGAAAUGCGUAGAUAUCAGGAGGAACACCGGUGGCGAAGGCGGCCUGCUGGACUGCGACUGACGUUGAGGCCCGAAAGCGUGGGGAGCAAACAGGAUUAGAUACCCGCGUAAG
This 448-nucleotide ribosomal RNA is filed under the name uncultured bacterium. RNAcentral's name for it is "bacterial SSU rRNA". It matches the Rfam family "Bacterial small subunit ribosomal RNA", at positions 330 to 793 of the family's 1533-position model. The record is from RNAcentral.